RNAcentral lists this ribosomal RNA (301 nucleotides) under uncultured bacterium. RNAcentral describes it as "partial 16S ribosomal RNA". It matches the Rfam family "Bacterial small subunit ribosomal RNA", at positions 509 to 809 of the family's 1533-position model. The record is from RNAcentral.
CAGUCGCCGCGGGAAUACGUAGGUGGCAAGCGUUGUCCGGAAUUAUUGGGCGUAAAGGGCUCGCAGGCGGUUUCUUAAGUCUGAUGUGAAAGCCCCCGGCUCAACCGGGGAGGGUCAUUGGAAACUGGGAAACUUGAGUGCAGAAGAGGAGAGUGGAAUUCCACGUGUAGCGGUGAAAUGCGUAGAGAUGUGGAGGAACUCCAGUGGCGAAGGCGACUCUCUGGUCUGUAACUGACGCUGAGGAGCGAAAGCGUGGGGAGCGAACAGGAUUAGAUACCCCUGUAGUCCCUGUCUCUUAUAA